UACGUAGGGUGCAAGCGUUAAUCGGAAUUACUGGGCGUAAAGCGUGCGCAGGCGGUUCGCUAAGACAGAUGUGAGAUCCCCGGGCUUAACCUGGGAACUGCAUUUGUGACUGGCGGGCUAGAGUAUGGCAGAGGGGGGUAGAAUUCCACGUGUAGCAGUGAAAUGCGUAGAGAUGUGGAGGAAUACCGAUGGCGAAGGCAGCCCCCUGGGCCAAUACUGACGCUCAUGCACGAAAGCGUGGGGAGCAAACGGG
RNAcentral lists this ribosomal RNA (253 nucleotides) under uncultured bacterium. RNAcentral's name for it is "partial 16S ribosomal RNA". It matches the Rfam family "Bacterial small subunit ribosomal RNA", at positions 524 to 776 of the family's 1533-position model. The record is from RNAcentral.